RNAcentral lists this unclassified non-coding RNA (191 nucleotides) under uncultured Cladophialophora. RNAcentral's name for it is "sequence contains ITS1". Lineage: Eukaryota; Fungi; Ascomycota; Eurotiomycetes; Chaetothyriales; Herpotrichiellaceae. The record is from RNAcentral.
ACGAGUGAGGGUCUUCCAGGCCCGACCUCCCAACCCUAUGUUUACUGAACCUCUGUUGCUUCGGCGGACCCGCCUCACGGCCGCCGGAGGGUCGCUCACCCGACUCUCUGGCCCGCGUCCGCCGAUGGCCAACCAAUUAAACUCUGAAUGAAUCGUGUCAUUAUGUCUAAGUCUAUGAUUAAAUUAAAGCA